This 73-nucleotide transfer RNA is filed under the name Heleophryne regis (royal ghost frog). RNAcentral's name for it is "tRNA-Leu". It matches the Rfam family "tRNA". From Rfam's summary of the family: Transfer RNA (tRNA) molecules are approximately 80 nucleotides in length. Their secondary structure includes four short double-helical elements and three loops (D, anti-codon, and T loops). The record is from RNAcentral. Lineage: Eukaryota; Metazoa; Chordata; Amphibia; Anura; Heleophrynidae.
GUUAGUGUUGCAAAGCCUGGUUUAGCAAAAGGCCUAAACCCUUUAUACAGGGGUUCAAAUCCCCUCACUAACU